Molecule: ribosomal RNA, 257 nt
Filed under: uncultured Glomus
Lineage: Eukaryota; Fungi; Glomeromycota; Glomeromycetes; Glomerales; Glomeraceae
Description: partial 18S ribosomal RNA
Rfam family: Eukaryotic small subunit ribosomal RNA
Source: RNAcentral
AAGCUCGUAGUUGAAUUUCGGGAUUAGUACGUCGGUCGUGCCCUAGGUACGUACUGGUGUUACUGGUUCCUACCUUCUGACGAACCAUCAUGUCAUUAAUUUGGUGUGGUGGGGAAUCAGGACUGUUACUUUGAAAAAAUUAGAGUGUUUAAAGCAGGCUCGCGCUUGAAUACAUUAGCAUGGAAUAAUGAAAUAGGACGUUGAUCCUAUUUUGUUGGUUUCUAGGAUUGACGUAAUGAUUAAUAGGGAUAGUUGGG